GUAAGGGGGGCUGUGGCUCCUGUGGAGGCUCCAAGGGCAGCUGUGGCUCUUGCGGGGGCUAUAAGGGGGGCUGUGGCUCUUGCGGGGGCUGUGGCUCCUGUGGGGGCUCCAAGGGGGGCUGUGGUUCUUGUGGCUGCUCCCAGUCCAGCUGCUGCAAGCCCUGCUGCUGCUCCUCAGGCUGUGGGUCAUCCUGCUGCCAGUCCAGCUGCUGUAAGCCCUGCUGUUCCCAAUCCAGCUGCUGUAAGCCCUGCUGCUGUUCCUCAGGCUGUGGGUCAUCCUGCUGCCAGUCCAGCUGCUGCAAACCCUGCUGUUCCCAGUCCAGCUGCUGUGUCCCCGUGUGCUACCAGUGCAAGAUCUGAGGCUCUGCCCACAAACCUCAGCUGGUCCUACAGAUCUGGGCCUCCAGGAAUGACUGCAGCUGUGGCCUGAAUUCCUGAAGCAUGUCUCUGAGCCUGUCCUCCUCUGGACUAAGGCAGCCUAGUGUUCAGGGCUCAGUACUCAGCCGCUCAGCCUCUGAGGUCAUGAGGGCUUCCGGCGUGCUGGAUCCUGCCCAUCAAUUCUCCCGGAAUCCCCUUUUCCUUUCCUGACCUCACCACUUCAACCUUCUCAGGGCUUCAAGAUCCCACAUCCCUGGGCCCCUCCUGUGAGCCUGCUGGAAACACGCUGAAACUGGAAUCCUCUGACCUGCUGCCACCUAUCCCGGGUCCCUGUAACCUCCUGUCUCCUCCACCCUUCGUCUUCAUCCUGCCUGAGCUACCAGAGCUCCGAUUGCUUUUGGAGUUGAUCUGGAGGACUCAGAAUUAUUAGAGAUCCCAGGAUCCUCUCCUGAGGAGGAGGGGUGUCCAGUCUCCUCUUCUACCUCCGACCUGGCCUGGUUUCUUUGCCCCAGGGCUUCGCCUUGUAAGUACCCGGGCUGGAUCUUCUAAAUAAAUACGAUCCGUACCUCC
Molecule: long non-coding RNA, 947 nt
Organism: Cercocebus atys (sooty mangabey)
Lineage: Eukaryota; Metazoa; Chordata; Mammalia; Primates; Cercopithecidae
Exons: 2
Source: RefSeq, a predicted model, not a curated record